Molecule: long non-coding RNA, 2132 nt
Filed under: Pan troglodytes (chimpanzee)
Lineage: Eukaryota; Metazoa; Chordata; Mammalia; Primates; Hominidae
Description: long non-coding RNA NONPTRT005792
Source: RNAcentral
CAGCACCACACUAUUUUAAUUAUUGUGUCAAGAAUAAUACAGUUAGAUAUCUCUUAGGGACAGUAUCUCCUUGAUAUUCUUUAAGCAGUUCUUAACUCUUCUCAUCCUUUUUUUCCCUUCCAGAUGGACUUUCAUCAAAUUCAAAGAAAAAAAAAAAGAUUCCACUGGGAUUUAAUUCAGAUUGCAUUUCACCGAAAAAUUACAAGGAUUAACAACAAGGAUUAACAGCAUUGCUGCAUUCAAUAUUGCAACCCAAGGGGUCCCUGUGAUGACAGUGAGCUCACCCUGAUAAUCGAGGCUAAUCUCCCCAUCUUAGGGUUAGCCUAUUAGCAACCUAAAUUCCACCGGCAACUUUAAUUCCCCCCUUGCCAUGCACCGUGACAUAUUCACAGGUUCUGGGGAGGAGGGCAUGAGCAUCUUUGUCGGGGCAUUGUUCUGUCCAUCACAGAGAAGCACUCAGAGAUUCCGGACUCCAGUAUCCUCAUUGUACACUUGAGGAAGCUUGGGCUCAGAGGCUUUAUGAUAAUUCCAACAGUUUUUGCAACAGGAGGAUGAGAAUAUCUGUCCAGGAGCCCUAAUCAAGACUCAGCAGGAGGCUGGUGGCUUCCUUUCCUUCCUUCUUUUGCUUCCUUCCUGUUCUUCCUGUGCUUCCUUUCAGUUCUUCCUUCUACAUAUGGGGCCCAUCGCAUUCCCACUGACUCAGAUGCUGAGGGGCCAGACUGAAGGGACAGUGGCCAUUGCAUCAAGUCAGAGAACGGAUCUGACCCAUCUAGUAGAAGCUUAUUGUUUUGGCAGAAGCACAAGCUCUUAGAGGUGCAGCUGCAGGGUGUGACCUGUUGGGGACAUUGAGCUCAGUGACCAUGGGCCCUGAGAGUCUGAAAUCCUGGAAUUUCUCCCAAAACGAAGUCCAUGUAGGGAAGCCAAAGUGUGAGUCUUACCCGGCUGGUUUACAACUGACUGACAUUUGCUGCCUGGGCAGCUGCUGUGGGUGUCUGGAAACCCUACUGGACUAGGACUGGCCCCAGCAAAAAACAAGUGUUAUAGCUGCCCAGUGUCCUCUGAGUGGAUGCUGGUGAUUCUGGUAUGGAGCCCAGAUGUAAGGCAGCAGGUGGUCCAGAAGGCACCAGAAGAGGUCUCCUGUCAAAGUCAGGGCCAGAGAAGAAGGCACAGGGAACCUACUGCACGAGACUUUCACUUGCAACGAGCAACCCAUGAUGAGGAGGGAGGAUUCCUGGGGGCAUUGAGUCCCCCAGACACAAGGACCCAAGACCUUCUUGCUUGGAAAGUGAAUUACUCAGAAUUCCGAGAUGAUGCCAGUCUUGGAGGAAGAUGACAUGAGGACCCAAAACCUUCUUGCUUGGAAAGUGAAUUCCUGAGAAUUCCGAGAUGAUGCCAGUCUUGGAGAAAGAUGACAUGAGGACCCAAAACCUUCUUGCUUGGAAAGUGAAUUCCUGAGAAUUCCGAGAUGAUGCCAGUCUUGGAGGAAGAUGACAUGAGGACCCAAAACCUUCUUGCUUGGAAAGUGAAUUUCUCAGAACUCCACGAAGACUCCAGUCUUGGAGGAAGAUGACAUGAGGACCCAAAACCUUCUUGCUUGGAAAGUGAAUUCCUCAGAACUCCACGAAGACUCCAGUCUUGGAGGAAGACGAGGUGUUGAGAGAUAGCUGGGAUCCCUGAGGAAGGCAGCCCCAGUCUCCGGUGGAGAAUUAAGAGGGGCCCAAGCAGAUGGUUGGUGGUGGAAACGUCACCUCAGUAUAGUACUAUGGAGUUUCCUUUCACCCCCAACAGCUGGUGGUUUCCAGGGGUGAAGAGUGAAAAUUGAAGCAAGGUGUCUACUGUCCAGGUGAGAGCCACAUCCUAUGGCUGAGGGCCUGGGGGCAUUGGGGACCACCAAGAAUGAAUACUUUUCCAAUUAAGUGAAGUCUUUUGCACAAUAUUCCUGACCAAUAGCUAAUGUUCUCUGAGAGAGUCAGAGCUUCAGCCCGUGAAAGAGCGAGGGAACUUGUAGGAAGAUGUAUGUGAGUACAUAUGUGAGGAGAACAUGCUGAAGUAGCCCAGGGGCUCAGUUGAAGCUGAGGACUGGUGGUUCUGGUGGCUGUGCUGGGGGUGGGGGUGGCAGUGUGAGAUGGAAG